GAUGAAGAACGUAGCGAAAUGCGAUAACUAGUGUGAAUUGCAGAAUUCCGUGAAUCAUCGAGUCUUUGAACGCACAUUGCGCCCCCUGGUAUUCCGGGGGGCAUGCCUGUCCGAGCGUCAUUGCUGCCCAUCAAGCACGGCUUGUGUGUUGGGUCGUCGUCCCCCCCUCCGGGGGGGGACGGGCCCUAAAGGCAGCGGUGGCACCGCGUCCGAUCCUCGAGCGUAUGGGGCUUUGUCACCCGCUCUGUAGGCCCGGCCGGCGCUUGCCGAACGCAAAACAACCAUUCUUUCCAGGUUGACCUCGGAUCAGGUAGGGAUACCCGCUGAACUUAAGCAUAUCAAUAAGCGGAGGA
RNAcentral lists this unclassified non-coding RNA (353 nucleotides) under soil metagenome. RNAcentral's name for it is "partial contains 5.8S ribosomal RNA, internal transcribed spacer 2, and large subunit ribosomal RNA". The stretch from base 1 to 120 matches the Rfam family "5.8S ribosomal RNA", at positions 35 to 154 of the family's 154-position model. The record is from RNAcentral.